The sequence is a small nuclear RNA, 186 nucleotides long. Its record names the gene U2. It matches the Rfam family "U2 spliceosomal RNA". Rfam says of the family: U2 is a small nuclear RNA (snRNA) component of the spliceosome (involved in pre-mRNA splicing). The record is from Ensembl.
AUCACUUCUCAGCCUUAAGAUCAAGGGUAAUAUCUGUUCUUAUCAAUUUCAUACCUGCUACGUCCUCUGUCUGAGGCCAGUUAGGUUAAAUGGAUUUUUGGAGCAGGAGGUUGGAAUAGGAGCUUGCUCCACUCACUCUGCACAUUGACCUGCUACUGCAGGACGUCAGGGAUCAGUGGGGUGGGG